RNAcentral lists this ribosomal RNA (845 nucleotides) under Linocarpon sp. HKUCC 2954. Its description in RNAcentral is "eukaryotic LSU rRNA". It matches the Rfam family "Eukaryotic large subunit ribosomal RNA", at positions 74 to 952 of the family's 3401-position model. Lineage: Eukaryota; Fungi; Ascomycota; Sordariomycetes; Chaetosphaeriales; Linocarpaceae. The record is from RNAcentral.
AUUGCCCCAGUAACGGCGAGUGAAGCGGCAACAGCUCAAAUUUGAAAUCUGGCCCCCGGCCCGAGUUGUAAUUUGCAGAGGAUGCUUCUGGCGCGGCGCCUUCCGAGUCCCCUGGAACGGGGCGCCGGAGAGGGUGAGAGCCCCGUACGGUCGGACGCCAAGCCAGUGUGAAGCUCCCUCGACGAGUCGAGCAGUUUGGGAAUGCUGCUCAAAAUGGGAGGUAAAUUUCUUCUAAAGCUAAAUACCGGCUGGAGACCGAUAGCGCACAAGUAGAGUGAUCGAAAGAUGAAAAGCACUUUGAAAAGAGGGUUAAACAGCACGUGAAAUUGUUGAAAGGGAAGCGCCCGUGGCCAGACUCGCGCCGCGCGGAUCAUCCGGCGUUCUCGCCGGUGCACUCCGCGCGGCUGCGGGCCAGCAUCGGUUCCCUCGGGGGGACAAGAGCCCCGGGAACGUAGCUCCCCCGGGAGCGUUAUAGCCCGGGGCAGGAUACCCCCGCCGGGACCGAGGUUCGCGCUCCGCAAGGAUGCUGGCGUAAUGGCCACCGGCGACCCGUCUUGAAACACGGACCAAGGAGUCAAGGUUUUGCGCGAGUGUCUGGGUGUCAAACCCGCACGCGUAAUGAAAGUGAACGCUGGUGAGAGCUUCGGCGCAUCAUCGACCGAUCCUGAUGUCCUCGGAUGGAUUUGAGUAGGAGCGCAGUGCCUUGGACCCGAAAGAUGGUGAACUAUGCUUGGAUAGGGUGAAGCCAGAGGAAACUCUGGUGGAGGCUCGCAGCGGUUCUGACGUGCAAAUCGAUCGUCAAAUCUGAGCAUGGGGCGAAAGACUAAUCGAACCAUCUAGUAGCU